This 479-nucleotide ribosomal RNA is filed under the name uncultured bacterium. Its description in RNAcentral is "partial 16S ribosomal RNA". It matches the Rfam family "Bacterial small subunit ribosomal RNA", at positions 355 to 824 of the family's 1533-position model. The record is from RNAcentral.
UAGGGAAUCUUCCACAAUGGACGCAAGUCUGAUGGAGCAACGCCGCGUGAGUGAAGAAGGUCUUCGGAUCGUAAAGCUCUGUUGUUGGUGAAGAAGGAUAGAGGCAGUAACUGGUCUUUAUUUGACGGUAAUCAACCAGAAAGUCACGGCUAACUACGUGCCAGCAGCCGCGGUAAUACGUAGGUGGCAAGCGUUGUCCGGAUUUAUUGGGCGUAAAGCGAGCGCAGGCGGAAUGAUAAGUCUGAUGUGAAAGCCCACGGCUCAACCGUGGAACUGCAUCGGAAACUGUCAUUCUUGAGUGCAGAAGAGGAGAGUGGAACUCCAUGUGUAGCGGUGGAAUGCGUAGAUAUAUGGAAGAACACCAGUGGCGAAGGCGGCUCUCUGGUCUGCAACUGACGCUGAGGCUCGAAAGCAUGGGUAGCGAACAGGAUUAGAUACCCUGGUGAGUCCAUGCCGUAAACGAUGAGCAGCUAGGUGUU